Molecule: ribosomal RNA, 414 nt
Filed under: uncultured microorganism
Description: bacterial SSU rRNA
Rfam family: Archaeal small subunit ribosomal RNA
Source: RNAcentral
CAGCCGCCGCGGUAAUACCGGCGGCCCGAGUGGCGGUCACUAUUAUUGGGCUUAAAGCGUCCGUAGCCGGGUUGGGAAGUCCUCCGGGAAAUCUGGCCGCUUAACGGUCAGAAUGCCGGAGGAUACUCCCAGCCUAGGGAGCGGGGGAGGCCGAGGGGAUUCCCGGGGUAGGGGUGGAAUCCUAUAAUCCCGGGAGGACCACCUGUGGCGAAGGCGCUCGGCUGGAACGCGUCCGACGGUGAGGGACGAAGGCCAGGGGAGCAAACCGGAUUAGAUACCCGGGUAGUCCUGGCGGUAAACGAUGCGGACUUUGUGUCGGACAAGCUAUGAGCUUGUCCGGUGCCGGAGGGAAACCGUUAAGUCCGCCGCCUGGGGAGUACGGCCGCAAGGCUGAAACUUAAAGGAAUUGGCGGG